UUCAUGUGUACGUUGCCUUCUUGUUCUCUCAUUUACGGAAUUUGACGAGCUGUGACAUGUUUUCUCUUGGAAUCAGCUUAAAGCGCGCUAUCAGCUUCAGUCAUUUGCCAAAGCUCCGUGUUGGCCAUGGAACGCACAGCAGGAAAGGUUUCAAGGUGAAAAGGGCAAUUGCGGAGUUUCUUAGGCCUGAGAGCCUGUCACUGCUGUGUCCUUCCCCCUCUCUGCUGCUCCAGGAGGACACCCCGACACCCCUCCUCUUACCAGUUUGCAGCUUGCUCACCCACUUAUCUCACAUACCCGUGCGCUUUGGACAUGAGGAAGAGAUGGAGCAAGUGGAAGAAAAGGCUAAUGUUUUCUUCAAAUUCACAUAGAAACCAGGAGAAAAAGAUAAAAUGGCAGCAUUCUUAGAAGACAGCAAGGAAGCUGUUACGGAGGGCAGAGAGCUGAAAAGAAGUUUUUAAUGGUCAUAGGUGGAAGAAUAAUCAAUAACGACAUUGAAAAUCUAAAUCAUUGUUAUUUUUUCUAAAAUGAUCAAAAAAUGUAUCUGUUUAUUGAUUCAGUAAUAAAUUUGAAUAGAAGAGAAUUUGAUACUUAAGGACUUAGGCAGAGUUCUGUUGGGUAUUUAGGAAACUCCCUCAUCAACCAAAAACUGUCUUAGAAAUAGUACCUUUUGAUUUUGCUUCUUUUAAUUACAUGCUUAAACAAUGUUCUUUUUUGGUACUGGGAAUUGAACUCAGGGUCAUGCACUUUCCAGGCAGGCACUAUGCUGUUGAGCUACAUCUCCAGCCUAAACAAUGUUCCAGAACAUUAGAGAUGCAUAAAUGUAAGCCCUUAUGUGUAAAUGCGUAAAUCUGUACAAGACAAACUUAUAGAUUAUCGGUUCAUUAAAGAUUUUAGACAACAGUCAAUUUUAUGCCAUUAGUAAGAUGGGCUCAGUCCCUUAGAUAUACACAAGUGCUAAAUCCAAAUAUAGUAUAUUAUGAUUAUGUACUGAUACUCAAAUGAGCACACACACACACACACACACACACUAUAUAUAUAUAUAUAUAUAUAUAUGACUACAUCACUAGCUAUCUUUGCUGAAAAUUAAAUGGAAAAAAGACUAAUUGAAAAUUUUAGGAUAAGAGAGUUUGCAAUCUCAAAAUCUCCAAAAACACUGUCAGCAAAGAGAGUAAGCAAAAUAACCCAUCACCCAUAUAUUCUAUGAAAUUACAAGACAGGCGAAUUCUAUGUUCUUUAAAUUAUAGGAAGUAGGGAAAUAAGUACAGAAAACUAGCAGAUUCUGCUUCCAAAAUCAAAGUGAAGUAAACCAGUAUACAAAUAGGAGGUAGCACAUGUCCAUCACUGUAGACAUUGAUUAAACUUACUCACAGAAAAAAGAUUCCAUGUGAAUUAGGGCAACACUGGACUCAAGUGUCAGGACCCAGUGAUCAUACAACUUGAUAUUGUGAAUUUCAGUGAAAGUAACCAGCAAACAAAUGAAACAGAAACAGGGUACUGGGAAGACACAGUUUUUUAAUAGAUAGUGAACAUGGAACUAGGCAGCACAUAUGAGGGACACAUGAAGAAAAGACAGGAGGAGAAUUACAAAGUUGGAAGCUAUUCUAGGCCACUUCCAAAGGGUGUCACGUAUUAAAGGUUCUUCUCUUCACUGUGGCAGGAGGGAGAAGUACUGUUGAACUAAUAAUACGUCUUCUAAGCCACCCAAUAGUUCACUCUACCAAUACACUAUUGUUUGCUAAUACUUGCCCAGGAUAAUAUAAGACUCUAAAACUUAAUAAAAGAUGUCUAA
Molecule: long non-coding RNA, 1792 nt
Organism: Cavia porcellus (domestic guinea pig)
Lineage: Eukaryota; Metazoa; Chordata; Mammalia; Rodentia; Caviidae
Exons: 3
Source: RefSeq, a predicted model, not a curated record